Non-coding RNA from Mycena crocata, 93 nucleotides. The record is from the annotation of a GenBank genome assembly. NCBI's taxonomy places the organism in Eukaryota, Fungi, Basidiomycota, Agaricomycetes, Agaricales, Mycenaceae.
GGCUGCUUGGUCUAACGGUAUGGCACUUGGGAAUUGUACAGUGCUUCAGAACUUAACCAACAUGUGAAGAGGGUUCGACUCCCUCAGCAACCA